RNAcentral lists this ribosomal RNA (447 nucleotides) under uncultured bacterium. RNAcentral's name for it is "bacterial SSU rRNA". It matches the Rfam family "Bacterial small subunit ribosomal RNA", at positions 355 to 825 of the family's 1533-position model. The record is from RNAcentral.
UGGGGAAUAUUGGACAAUGGGCGCAAGCCUGAUCCAGCAAUGCCGCGUGAGUGAUGAAGGCCUUAGGGUUGUAAAGCUCUUUUACCCGUGAUGAUAAUGACAGUAGCGGGAGAAUAAGCCCCGGCUAACUCCGUGCCAGCAGCCGCGGUAAUACGGAGGGGGCUAGCGUUGUUCGGAAUUACUGGGCGUAAAGCGUACGUAGGCGGUGACUCAAGUCAGAGGUGAAAGCCUGGAGCUCAACUCCAGAACUGCCUUUGAAACUAGGUCGCUAGAAUCACGGAGAGGUGAGUGGAAUUCCGAGUGUAGAGGUGAAAUUCGUAGAUAUUCGGAAGAACACCAGUGGCGAAGGCGGCUCACUGGACGUGUAUUGACGCUGAGGUACGAAAGCGUGGGGAGCAAACAGGAUUAGAUACCCGAGUAGUCCCUGAGCGGGCUGGCAAGGCGCAU